UGCUUGAAUGUGUUGGAAAGGUGAUG
RNAcentral lists this non-coding RNA (26 nucleotides) under Homo sapiens (human). Lineage: Eukaryota; Metazoa; Chordata; Mammalia; Primates; Hominidae. The record is from RNAcentral.